CCUCGGGGACCUGCUGCGGGCAGAUCAGGUGGACGUGGCAGUCCACCGCCCCCGCGGUGAGGAUCUUCCCGUUGCCGGCGAGGAUCUCCGUGCCCGGUCCGAUGACCAGGUCGGGAUGGACGCCGUCCAUGAUGUCGGGGUUGCCGGCCUUGCCGAGCGCGACGAUCCGCCCGUCCCGGAUACCGACGUCGGCCUUGACGACCCCCCAGUGGUCGAGGAUCACCGCCCCGGUGAUGACGAGGUCCGGGGCACCCUCGGCGCGCGACGUCCGGGCCUGCCCCAUGGACUCCCGGA
Frankia sp. is the source of this 294-nucleotide non-coding RNA. NCBI's taxonomy places the organism in Bacteria, Bacillati, Actinomycetota, Actinomycetes, Frankiales, Frankiaceae. The record is from Rfam.